This 253-nucleotide ribosomal RNA is filed under the name uncultured bacterium. RNAcentral's name for it is "partial 16S ribosomal RNA". It matches the Rfam family "Bacterial small subunit ribosomal RNA", at positions 524 to 776 of the family's 1533-position model. The record is from RNAcentral.
UACGUAGGGCGCAAGCGUUAAUCGGAAUUACUGGGCGUAAAGGGCGCGUAGGCGGCCUGUUAAGUCGAACGUGAAAUCCCCGGGCUCAACCCGGGAACUGCGUCCGAUACUGGCAGGCUUGAAUCCGGGAGAGGGAUGCGGAAUUCCAGGUGUAGCGGUGAAAUGCGUAGAUAUCUGGAGGAACACCGGUGGCGAAGGCGGCAUCCUGGACCAACAUUGACGCUGAGGAGCGAAGGCUAGGGGAGCAAACGGG